GACGAACGACACGAACGUUAUUCGGAAUUACUGGGCGUAAAGCGUGCGCAGGCGGUUUGUUAAGUCCGCUGUGAAAUCCCCGAGCUCAACUUGGGAAUUGCAGUGGAUACUGGCAAGCUGGAGUAUGGUAGAGGAAGGUGGAAUUCCCGGUGUAGCAGUGAAAUGCGUAGAGAUCGGGAGGAACACCAGUGGCGAAGGCGGCCUUCUGGACCAAUACUGACGCUCAUGCACGAAAGCGUGGGGAGCAAACAGG
This 253-nucleotide ribosomal RNA is filed under the name uncultured bacterium. RNAcentral's name for it is "partial 16S ribosomal RNA". It matches the Rfam family "Bacterial small subunit ribosomal RNA", at positions 524 to 776 of the family's 1533-position model. The record is from RNAcentral.